AAGUAAGAAGCAAAUAUUGCAUUUAGUUUCGGCCUAAAAAUUUGGUGUAACUUCACCCUUACUUA
RNAcentral lists this transfer RNA (65 nucleotides) under Aromia bungii. Its description in RNAcentral is "tRNA-Arg". The record is from RNAcentral. Lineage: Eukaryota; Metazoa; Arthropoda; Insecta; Coleoptera; Cerambycidae.